This is a non-coding RNA of Pelobates cultripes (western spadefoot toad), 761 nucleotides long. The record is from the annotation of a GenBank genome assembly. NCBI's taxonomy places the organism in Eukaryota, Metazoa, Chordata, Amphibia, Anura, Pelobatidae.
UAGUGAUCUUUUAAAACCAGGAAAAGCUUUGAGUGCCUCAGGUAAAAAAAAGGUGGUCCCCCUUUCAAUCCUUCUUUAGCAAUCUUGUUUUUGUUUAAUCACAAUUUCGGAGGGUAUAAGAAGACUCCCUUGUAGUAAAUAAUGAGUUCAGACAGCAGGCCGGUGGUCAGAUGCAGUUCAAACGUAUCAGGGGAGAGUUUUUUUUAUUUUUCAUUUUAGCAGUUUAUAUUUAUUUUAUGGCUAUUUAAAAGCUGUUUCCUAUAGGGGUCUAUGAAUAUUUUGCAGUGUGGAGGGGCUUUUCCUUAAGCUGUGCCCUAUCUGUGCUGACAUUUUCUGUUUUAUUUGCCAGGAGCAGGGCCUGCUGUUCUCUUAUGCAUGUGUGAGAGUAAAAAAACUGUUGUCUAUGCCAUUUAUUAUGAGCCUGAUAAAUGCAAUUAAACAGCCUAAUCCAGUAUUGUCAAUAUAAGGGAUAGGUAUCGGUUUUAAUAUUCAAACCGAUAUUUAUUGGUUGCCAAUAAGUCUUUAAUUUUGGUAAUAUAAUCUAUCCAAACCAAUCAAAAGCUUAAUGAGAGCCAAAUUACUGGCUCUAAUUAAAUGGAGGCCUAAGUGAUUGUUGGCUUGCAUGUUUACUGUUCCACGUUCAAAACAUUAACCCAUGACACUAAUUGUGCCAUAGUUAUACCACUUUUCUCACAGAAACAGUUUUAUACAUAACCACUAUAUUUGUAUGAGAUUCACAUAGUCUCAUACAAAUUUGCUAC